UCUUAAAUCAUGGCCUGACUGCAGCACUUUGGACACCAAAAGCUCUGAGCUUCGACACACAUUCAACUAUCUUUGAGGCAAAUUACUGGGAUCCUGAUGAUCAGCAUAUAUUCUGCAUAUUCAUGAAGACAGACAAGCGUCUAUUCAGACAGAGCAGCUGCACAUUUACUGCUGGUGAGAGACGGACUCAUCAUGUGGAUCCAGG
This is a long non-coding RNA of Nerophis ophidion (straightnose pipefish), 205 nucleotides long. RefSeq lists it as uncharacterized. The record is from RefSeq and is a predicted model, not a curated record. The transcript is spliced from 3 exons. Lineage: Eukaryota; Metazoa; Chordata; Actinopteri; Syngnathiformes; Syngnathidae.